Molecule: ribosomal RNA, 459 nt
Filed under: uncultured bacterium
Lineage: Bacteria
Description: partial 16S ribosomal RNA
Rfam family: Bacterial small subunit ribosomal RNA
Source: RNAcentral
CCUACGGGUGACAGCAGUGGGGAAUAUUGCACAAUGGGGGGAACCCUGAUGCAGCAACGCCGCGUGAAGGUCAGUGCCCUAUGGAUUGUAAACCUCUUUAGGCGGGGAGCAAUGCCGGGCACGCGUGCCCGGAGGGAGAGUACCCGCAGAAUAAGCAUCGGCUAACUCCGUGCCAGCAGCCGCGGUAAUACGGAGGAUGCGAGCGUUAUCCGGAUUUAUUGGGUUUAAAGGGUGCGUAGGCGGAUUUUUAAGUCAGCGGUAAAAUGUCCGGGCUCAACCCGGGCCGGCCGUUGAAACUGGGGAUCUUGAGUGGGCGAGAAGUAUGCGGAAUGCGUGGUGUAGCGGUGAAAUGCAUAGAUAUCACGCAGAACUCCGAUUGCGAAGGCAGCAUACCGGCGCCCGACUGACGCUGAGGCACGAAAGCGUGGGGAUCGAACAGGAUUAGAUACCCUUGUAGUC